This 496-nucleotide ribosomal RNA is filed under the name uncultured bacterium. RNAcentral's name for it is "partial 16S ribosomal RNA". It matches the Rfam family "Bacterial small subunit ribosomal RNA", at positions 29 to 507 of the family's 1533-position model. The record is from RNAcentral.
AUGCACGCUGGCGGCGUGCCUAAUCCCUGCAAGUCGAGCGCACGGACGAGAAGCUUGCUUCUCUGAUGUUAGCGGCGGACGGGUGAGUAACACGUGGAUAACCUACCUAUAAGACUGGGAUAACUUCGGGAAACCGGAGCUAAUACCGGAUAAUAUUUUGAACCGCAUGGUUCAAAAGUGAAAGACGGUCUUGCUGUCACUUAUAGAUGGAUCCGCGCUGCAUUAGCUAGUUGGUAAGGUAACGGCUUACCAAGGCAACGAUGCAUAGCCGACCUGAGAGGGUGAUCGGCCACACUGGAACUGAGACACGGUCCAGACUCCUACGGGAGGCAGCAGUAGGGAAUCUUCCGCAAUGGGCGAAAGCCUGACGGAGCAACGCCGCGUGAGUGAUGAAGGUCUUCGGAUCGUAAAACUCUGUUAUUAGGGAAGAACAUAUGUGUAAGUAACUGUGCACAUCUUGACGGUACCUAAUCAGAAAGCCACGGCUAACUACGUG